This 72-nucleotide transfer RNA is filed under the name Neotoma lepida (desert woodrat). It matches the Rfam family "tRNA". Rfam says of the family: Transfer RNA (tRNA) molecules are approximately 80 nucleotides in length. Their secondary structure includes four short double-helical elements and three loops (D, anti-codon, and T loops). Lineage: Eukaryota; Metazoa; Chordata; Mammalia; Rodentia; Cricetidae. The record is from Rfam by way of RNAcentral.
GGAAAUGUAGCUCAGUGGUAGAGCAUUUGUCUAACAUACAUGAGGUCCUAGGUUCAAUCCCUAGGACCACCA